This is a long non-coding RNA of Neoarius graeffei (lesser salmon catfish), 296 nucleotides long. RefSeq lists it as uncharacterized. The record is from RefSeq and is a predicted model, not a curated record. The transcript has 3 exons. Lineage: Eukaryota; Metazoa; Chordata; Actinopteri; Siluriformes; Ariidae.
CUCCCGACCAAGCUGGUGUGCGACCUGCUAGGAGUUGUAUUUUCAAAAAGAGAGAUGGCCACCUCGUCCCUGACUGGACAAAAGGGCAGUGCCAAAGACGAAAUAAAACCACCACUGGAGGCCACCGCGGUCAAAGCUAUUUUUGAAUACACUCUGCAGAAAUUUCCCAAUGUGGAACUAUCCGUCCUGAGGGGAGCCGUCAGGAAUAAGUUAAACAAUGUCAGCAAGCUGUUCAAGAAAACACAGGCUGAAGCUGGAUCCGAUGAACCCUGAUCCCUCAGACAUUGAAUUAUUUG